RNAcentral lists this long non-coding RNA (1089 nucleotides) under Sus scrofa (pig). RNAcentral describes it as "lncRNA (ENSSSCG00005032530.1)". The record is from RNAcentral. Lineage: Eukaryota; Metazoa; Chordata; Mammalia; Artiodactyla; Suidae.
GGAGAAUGUUAUGCUACACCACAGCUAUGGAAUCGCAAGACCUUAAAUAUGGGACAACGUACUGGGUACUUUAAUAAGUAAAAUGCAAAAGAAACAAGGAAAAGAGGAAAUUGCAAUGUAUUGGUUUUUCGUUCUUGUUUUUGUUUUUUUGCCUCUGUCAGUGGAAGUUACCCGGCCAGGGUUGGAACCCGCACCACAGCUGUAACCAGAGUCACAGCAGUGACCAUCCUGGACCGCUGAGCCACGAGGGAACACCUAUUGAUCUUAUUUAGAUUGUGAUUCAAAUUGUCAAGUUUUUUUGUUUUGUUUUGGGUUUCGUUUUUUGUUUUUUUGUUUUUUUUUGUCCUUUUGCCUUUUCUAGGGCCGCUCCCACAACAUAUGGAGGUUCCCAGGCUAGGGGUCUAAUCCGAGCUGUAGCCACCGGCCUUCACCACAGCCACAGCAAUGCCAGAUCCAAGCUGCAUUUUCAACUUACACCACAGCUCACAGCAACGCUGGAUCCUUAACCCACUGAGCAAGGCCAGGGAUCAAACCUGCAACCUCAUGGUUCCUAGUCAGACUCGUUAACCACUGCCCCACGACGGGAACGCCAUGAUAUAUUCUUUUGAGGAAGAUUUCCUUUCCUCAAUGUUAUGUUUUUGAGAUCUGUGCCUGUUGAUGCUUGUGUCAAUAAUUUAUUCCUUUUUAUUGCUAACAGUAUUUUUACAUCUCAAGCUGCCAGACUUAUUUAUCCCAUCACCAAGUGAUAGAUGUGUGGAUUUUUUCUAGUUUUGAGCUACUUAUUAUAAAUAAAUCUGCUAUGAAUUGUCACGGACAUAUCUUUGCAUUAACAUAUGUUCCCAUUUAUUUUAGGGGAAAUACCUAAAAGAAGGCCAGUAGAAUGAUAUACAGAAAGCUCUCACGGAGAUGCCUCCUGGCUCCCUGGGGAAAAGAUGUCUGUGUGUUGAUGAGGUGGGUGUGAUCACCUCCGUGGCUGGAAGACCACCGAUGGGUGGACAACACAGUCACGCUUCAGUUAUUGUCCUGCACCCAUGAGUCUCAUGCAGAUACACUCUGCCCUGGAAGUGAAUCCACUCCUACGCUGGACAU